RNAcentral lists this transfer RNA (84 nucleotides) under Xenopus tropicalis (tropical clawed frog). RNAcentral's name for it is "tRNA-Leu (TAA) (tRNA-Leu-TAA-30-1)". It matches the Rfam family "tRNA". From Rfam's summary of the family: Transfer RNA (tRNA) molecules are approximately 80 nucleotides in length. Their secondary structure includes four short double-helical elements and three loops (D, anti-codon, and T loops). Lineage: Eukaryota; Metazoa; Chordata; Amphibia; Anura; Pipidae. The record is from Rfam by way of RNAcentral.
ACCAGGAUGGCCGAGUGGUAAAGGUGUUGGGGCUUAAGAUCCAAUGGAUGUAUAUCCGCGUGGGUUCAAACCCCACUCCUGGUA